This 396-nucleotide unclassified non-coding RNA is filed under the name soil metagenome. Its description in RNAcentral is "partial contains 5.8S ribosomal RNA, internal transcribed spacer 2, and large subunit ribosomal RNA". The stretch from base 1 to 122 matches the Rfam family "5.8S ribosomal RNA", at positions 35 to 154 of the family's 154-position model. The record is from RNAcentral.
GAUGAAGAACGUAGCGAAAUGCGAUACUUGGUGUGAAUUGCAGAAUCCCGUGAACCAUCGAGUCUUUGAACGCAAGUUGCGCCCGAAGCCAUUAGGCCGAGGGCACGCCUGCCUGGGUGUCACACACCGUUACCCUCGCGCCAACGUCCAUCGUUGGCCGCGGCGCGGGGCGUGCGCUGACCUCCCGCGAGCGGGGUCUCGUGGUUGGUUGAAAAUCGAGUUCGCGGUCGAGGGUGCCGUGAUGAAAUGGUGGAUGGGCGACGCCCGAGGCCAAUGACGCGCGACUCUGUCCGGCUCGGACUCCUGGACCCCUUCGGCGUCUCCGGACGCUCUUUGGCGAGACCUCAGGUCCGGCGGGGCUAUCCGCUGAGUUUAAGCAUAUCGAUAAGCGGAGGA